This is a non-coding RNA of Macaca mulatta (Rhesus monkey), 52 nucleotides long. NCBI's taxonomy places the organism in Eukaryota, Metazoa, Chordata, Mammalia, Primates, Cercopithecidae. The record is from Rfam.
AUUUUAGUAUGAAUAUGUCCCAUGCAAUAUUUGGGACAUAAUUAUGCUAAAG